This 672-nucleotide ribosomal RNA is filed under the name uncultured bacterium. RNAcentral describes it as "bacterial SSU rRNA". It matches the Rfam family "Bacterial small subunit ribosomal RNA", at positions 120 to 787 of the family's 1533-position model. The record is from RNAcentral.
GGGAAACUGCCUGAUGGAGGGGGAUAACUACUGGAAACGGUAGCUAAUACCGCAUAACGUCUACGGACCAAAGUGGGGGACCUUCGGGCCUCACGCCAUCAGAUGUGCCCAGAUGGGAUUAGCUAGUAGGUGGGGUAAUGGCUCACCUAGGCGACGAUCCCUAGCUGGUCUGAGAGGAUGACCAGCCACACUGGAACUGAGACACGGUCCAGACUCCUACGGGAGGCAGCAGUGGGGAAUAUUGCACAAUGGGCGCAAGCCUGAUGCAGCCAUGCCGCGUGUGUGAAGAAGGCCUUAGGGUUGUAAAGCACUUUCAGCGAGGAGGAAGGGUUCAGUGUUAAUAGCACUAUUCAUUGACGUUACUCGCAGAAGAAGCACCGGCUAACUCCGUGCCAGCAGCCGCGGUAAUACGGAGGGUGCAAGCGUUAAUCGGAAUUACUGGGCGUAAAGCGCACGCAGGCGGUUUGUUAAGUCAGAUGUGAAAUCCCCGCGCUUAACGUGGGAACUGCAUUUGAAACUGGCAAGCUAGAGUCUUGUAGAGGGGGGUAGAAUUCCAGGUGUAGCGGUGAAAUGCGUAGAGAUCUGGAGGAAUACCGGUGGCGAAGGCGGCCCCCUGGACAAAGACUGACGCUCAGGUGCGAAAGCGUGGGGAGCAAACAGGAUUAGAUACCC